RNAcentral lists this ribosomal RNA (716 nucleotides) under Klebsiella pneumoniae. RNAcentral's name for it is "partial 23S ribosomal RNA". It matches the Rfam family "Bacterial large subunit ribosomal RNA", at positions 540 to 1258 of the family's 2925-position model. Lineage: Bacteria; Pseudomonadati; Pseudomonadota; Gammaproteobacteria; Enterobacterales; Enterobacteriaceae. The record is from RNAcentral.
GAAAAAGAACCUGAAACCGUGUACGUACAAGCAGUGGGAGCACCUUCGGGUGUGACUGCGUACCUUUUGUAUAAUGGGUCAGCGACUUAUAUUCUGUAGCAAGGUUAACCGUAUAGGGGAGCCGCAGGGAAACCGAGUCUUAACUGGGCGUUAAGUUGCAGGGUAUAGACCCGAAACCCGGUGAUCUAGCCAUGGGCAGGUUGAAGGUUGGGUAACACUAACUGGAGGACCGAACCGACUAAUGUUGAAAAAUUAGCGGAUGACUUGUGGCUGGGGGUGAAAGGCCAAUCAAACCGGGAGAUAGCUGGUUCUCCCCGAAAGCUAUUUAGGUAGCGCCUCGUGAACUCAUCUUCGGGGGUAGAGCACUGUUUCGGCUAGGGGGUCAUCCCGACUUACCAACCCGAUGCAAACUACGAAUACCGAAGAAUGUUAUCACGGGAGACACACGGCGGGUGCUAACGUCCGUCGUGAAGAGGGAAACAACCCAGACCGCCAGCUAAGGUCCCAAAGUCAUGGUUAAGUGGGAAACGAUGUGGGAAGGCACAGACAGCCAGGAUGUUGGCUUAGAAGCAGCCAUCAUUUAAAGAAAGCGUAAUAGCUCACUGGUCGAGUCGGCCUGCGCGGAAGAUGUAACGGGGCUAAACCAUGCACCGAAGCUGCGGCAGCGACACUAUGUGUUGUUGGGUAGGGGAGCGUUCUGUAAGCCUGCGAAGGUG